Mustela erminea (ermine) is the source of this 991-nucleotide long non-coding RNA. RefSeq lists it as uncharacterized. The transcript has 2 exons. NCBI's taxonomy places the organism in Eukaryota, Metazoa, Chordata, Mammalia, Carnivora, Mustelidae. The record is from RefSeq and is a predicted model, not a curated record.
AUCAAUUUUUCAAGGGAAGAAAUAACCACAGAGGCAAUUGAGAGGUUGCAGUGGAGGCAUAGGUAUAGUUUUACAAAAGUCAACAAACAAACAAACAAAGCAUUUCAUUUCAGAAAGGAAGAAGUAUUUUGUAGCGUCAGCUACUCCUGAGAGACCAAGAAGGAGGAAACCGGUUAUGUCCGUCCUCAAAGAGGAAAAAGAACUGGAACAAAAGAUUUAUUGAAUACCUUCAGUACAAGACACUUAAUAUUAGAUAUUACAUGGAAUACCUUAUCAGCAAGAAUUAGAUACAAUUUCCCCAUUUUCUAAGUGAAGAAAUGGAGACUCAAGCAGCUUUUACAAUUUGCCAAAGGCUCACAGCUCAAACCAAGUUAUGUUCAAUUCCAAAGCUCCUCAUGUUCAAUUAUAAUCUAUUGCCUUCCAGAAGUUCAAAGUUAAGGCUGUACCCUUAGAAAAGCAUGGCUAGUGUAGAAUAAAUAUGUAUACCAGAAGGUAAUCCCUCCAUUUCUAUAAAAUUUUUAACCAUAUACAUUGGCCUUAAUAUUUUUAAUAACUAGCCUCUCAGAUUCCUAAAACACACUGAAGGAUGAAAGAAAAUAUUAUUCUUAUUUGUUAAAUAGAACUUUAAUAUUUUGAUUUCUUUAAUAAAUGUGAAGAAUUACAGUAGUGCAUGCAAUUAAAAUUUCUUUUGUUAUAUAAUUCCAUUAUUGAAUUAAAUUGCUUCAUUAAGGAAAACUACAUUUUCUUACACAUUUUGGCAUAUAUAAAUUCAUUUGUGCUUUUGCCACCUCCUCCUUGUCAAUGAUGUCUACUAAUUAUAUUCUAAAAAUGCUUCUCUCACAAAAUAGCUCAUAAUUAUUUAAAAAAUAAAAAGAGGAAAUUGUCCUUGGAGCAUAGCAUCUUGUGUUUCUGCUGCUCUUUUAAAUUUAUAAAAAUAUGGAGACUGAGAUACACAUUCAAAGCUUUGACAAUUAUGUCAGGACUACUUUCA